Long non-coding RNA from Cyprinus carpio carpio, 1269 nucleotides. NCBI's taxonomy places the organism in Eukaryota, Metazoa, Chordata, Actinopteri, Cypriniformes, Cyprinidae. The record is from Ensembl.
GUGACAUUUUGAUGAUUUAUUUUUAUUUCUGAAUAAUGUAAACAAAUUGUUCACAAAGACCAAGAAUGUGUGGUAAGUUAGUAGGGUGAGUUCUGAUUUCUUGUGGCCUUUCAAGGAAUGAGCUAGAUGCUAAUGCUAACAUGCAAACAGUCUGUGACAAAACAGUUUGUUGAAAUAAGGCACACAUUUUAGGAUGUAGUACAAGUAUAAGUUACAAGCGUACAAGUGUACAAGUCAUUUGACAUGCUAUUUUCAUUGUACUUUGAUUUUAAGAGUAAAAUCAAGUAUUGAUUGGACCAUGAAAUCUCUUUUGUUAGGCAUCUGGUGACAAGGGAGUGAAAAAUAAGAUGAUAUGGUGGUGUCAGCUGAAAAGUAAAUUUGUUUCAGAGUCAGAGCAAGUUAUGACAUUUUGAUGAUUUAUUUCUUCUUCUGAAUAAUGUGCCAAAUUGUUCACAACAAGACCGGAAACAUGAGUGAGUUCUGACUUCUUGUGGCCUUUCAAGGAAAUGAUGUGAACUGAAAUAUACACCCUGUGCCUCAAAGAUGUUGCAGCCACAAUGGAUCAAAGUUGGCAAGAGUGAAUCAGCAUGUUAUCAAUUAUACACAUAGAAAUUGAGCAGGGAAAAAAUGUAAUAUAACAUUAAAAGAGUUUCGGCUUAAGAAGGACUGCUGUGAUCUUUGAACAUCCUCAUGUAAAAUUCUGAUUUUAAUUUCCAAAAGAGCCCUUUUCCACCAGUGUGCCUGCAUGCACAACACUUACUUGUGCAUGCACAUUCACGCACACGUGCAAACAUACAGUACAUUCUGCAUGGCGCCAACAAGGAAGAAACGUCAUCAUCCUAUUAUAAAAAGCCAACUAAAGCAGUGCACCAUUCACUGGAAUCAGGAACUAUUUGACAAAGAGGGGAAGUUUGGCUAUUUUACCUCACACAGGUCAACAUUACACAGCAAAUAUCACACCCUGUGGCCUCAUAAAAUACAACCGAGCGCAUUUCAAAAGCACUUCUGACAGACUUUGAUCCCUGAAUAGAGAUAUUGCUUAAAAUGCAUUGCAGAGAAACUUGUUUUGGAAACUUAUUUAUUUGUUUAGUUAUUUAUUUAGUUAUUUUAUUUGUUUAUUUCCUGUACUGACAUAUUUCUGACUAAGACAGAAAUUUUAGGCAGGGGAUAUCAAUGGGUUUGUCCAUUUUUCCUUAAAUAGCCAAAACAUCACAUAACAGCCAUUAAGUCAUAAUUUACUAUACAGUUUCAGGGGGAGGGACUACUCUC